GACGAACGCUGGCGGCGUGCUUAACACAUGCAAGUCGAACGGAAAGGCCCUGCUUUUGUGGGGUGCUCGAGUGGCGAACGGGUGAGUAACACGUGAGUAACCUGCCCUUGACUUUGGGAUAACUUCAGGAAACUGGGGCUAAUACCGGAUAGGAGCUCCUGCUGCAUGGUGGGGGUUGGAAAGUUUCGGCGGUUGGGGAUGGACUCGCGGCUUAUCAGCUUGUUGGUGGGGUAGUGGCUUACCAAGGCUUUGACGGGUAGCCGGCCUGAGAGGGUGACCGGCCACAUUGGGACUGAGAUACGGCCCAGACUCCUACGGGAGGCAGCAGUGGGGAAUAUUGCACAAUGGGCGGAAGCCUGAUGCAGCGACGCCGCGUGGGGGAUGACGGCCUUCGGGUUGUAAACUCCUUUCGCUUGGGACGAAGCGCAAGUGACGGUAAUUGGAAAAGAAGCACCGGCUAACUACGUG
This 468-nucleotide ribosomal RNA is filed under the name uncultured bacterium. RNAcentral's name for it is "partial 16S ribosomal RNA". It matches the Rfam family "Bacterial small subunit ribosomal RNA", at positions 28 to 507 of the family's 1533-position model. The record is from RNAcentral.